UUUGUCUGUUAAACAGAGAAGCUGGCUGUUAUCCACUGAGAAGCGAACGAGACAGUCGGGAAAAUCUCCCAUUAUCGUAGAGAUCCGCAUUAUUAAUCUCAGGAGCCUGUGUAGCGUUUAUAGGAAGUAGUGUUCUGUCAUGAUGCCUGCAAGCGGUAACGAAAACGAUUUGAAUAUGCCUUCAGGAACAAUAGAAAUCUUCGUGCGGUGUUACGUUGAAGUGGAGCGGAUUAUGUCAGCAAUGGACAGAACAACCUAAUGAACACAGAACCAUGAUGUUUGGUCUGUCCUUUUACAGCCAGUAGUGCUCGCCGCAGUCGAGCGACAGGGCGAAGCCCUCGAGUGAGCGAGGAAGCACCAGGGAACAGCACUUAUAUAUUCUGCUUACACACGAUGCCUGAAAAAACUUCCCUUGGGGUUAUCCACUUAUCCACGGGGAUAUUUUUAUAAUUAUUUUUUUAUAGUUUUUAGAUCUUCUUUUUUAGAGCGCCUUGUAGGCCUUUAUCCAUGCUGGUUCUAGAGAAGGUGUUGUGACAAAUUGCCCUCAGAAGAAGCUGUUUUUUCACAAAGUUAUCCCUGCUUAUUGACUCUUUUUUAUUUAGUGUGACAAUCUAAAAAAUUGUCACUGAACCGCCCCGGUUUUCCUGGAGAGUGUUUUAUCUGUGAACUCAGGCUGCCAGAUCAUCGUUUCCGAUGGAAGCAUAAUAAGCUUUUUCUGCUUCUGCCGGAGGAGUAUGGCCCAGCCUUCCCAGCAAUCGUCGAUUGUUAUACCAGUCCACCCACGUUAGUGUGGCCAGUUCCACUUCUGCACGGUUUUUCCAGCUCUUACGGUGUAUUACCUCCGCUUUGUAAAGACCAUUGAUGCUCUCAGCCAUCGCGUUGUCAUACGAGUCGCCUGUACUCCCUGUUGAUGCCAGUAAUCCGGCUUCUUUUAGUCGCUCCGUAUAGGCAGUGACACAUACUGAGAGCCUUUAUCGCUGUGAUGGAUGGUGCCAGACGGACGACGGGCCCACAACGCCUGCUCCAGCGCAUCCAGCACGAAUGUCGUUUCCAUAGACGAUGAGACCCGCCACCCCACGAUGUAUCCGGCAAACACAUCAA
Molecule: ribosomal RNA, 1101 nt
Filed under: Escherichia coli B103
Lineage: Bacteria; Pseudomonadati; Pseudomonadota; Gammaproteobacteria; Enterobacterales; Enterobacteriaceae
Description: partial 23S ribosomal RNA
Source: RNAcentral